GGUGAAGUGAUUUCACCCUGCUGCCCGGGCCAGUCGUGUGAGCAGGCCUGCGCAACAGAAUGGAAACUCCGUGAGCAGAAGACUGAGUUGGUGGUCGGUUCAGGCUGCUGUAAUAAAGUACUACAGACUGAGUGGCUUAAAACAACACAAGUUCUGGAAUCUGGAAGUCCAAGAUGAGGUGCUGGCCUGAUGGUCAGGUUCAUCUGUUUUGCAUCCUAAAGUUCUCGUAUGAGUGACGUCAUAGGGUAUUUGUCAGAUCCCAUCUAAAUGCCUCUCACCGGAGUGUACCCUUCGGUCUUUGUGUCCGUCUGUCCCCCCAUCCCCGGUGAAAAGCGCAAGGAUCCUGGACACUCUUCAGGCGGUGGAGCUGAUCCCGUUACUGUUGGCUUGUGCAAAACUAAAGAAUUUAACUCCGGGGAAGCCAGAGCCCUCUAUGGACAGGCUGCCUUUGGAACCUUGACCUGAGCUUGAGGACAGCCGGGUGCUGGGGCGCAGGUGUGGCUGGGGCGGCACCCUCCCCCCGGAGAUUCUCAGGGUGCACAGAUGAUAGGCUGCCUUCCCCCACGCUGUUGUUCUAAGCUGUGAUCGAGCCCCAAGGUGACAAUUGCUCAGUUACGUGACCCUCUCAGUCUGCUAAACGUGGCAAAAAUUGAGUAAGCUCUAGGUGCCCAGAACCAUCCUGAACACAUUCAUGGACUGUCUCAUUCAUCUUCACGUUGUCGAUAUGCAGUACAGGUAACCCUAAAAGCUCUGAAAACACCAAGUUCUGGAAAGUCACUUGGCAGCACACUUUGGCUGGGGGAGGUCCUUGACAGGUUUUAUCCACUCGAAGCGUGCCCGUGCUUCCGCUGUAAGAUUCCAAAUGCUGUGGAAGAGGAACAGCUAGAAAGCCUUUAUUCUAGCAUAAAGCCUCAUUCAGCAUAAGCCUUUAUUCUAGAACUCCAGGCCCGAGAAGUCCCUAAAGCAGUGUUCUGCCUCCGGGGAACGAGGGAGGGACUGUCUACCAGGGCCGUAGCAGGAGAAUCAGUCCUAAUUCAGCAGGUGCAGGGAUCGUGGGUUGAAGGUGGGUCUCGGCGGAGGGAGGAAUUCUUCGUGCGUGUCUGCAGCCAGGAUUCAGGGCUUUGGAGAGGAGCCAGGGCUGAGGUCCUGCGUGAGAGGGGGUGGAAGGGCCCACUGAGGAGGACAGGGACCCAGACGGCUUCCGUGGACACUUCUCAACCCUCCAGGGCCUCUCACGGAGUAUGUUUGCUGAUGGGGUGCUGCCCCAGCCCCUGCUGUGAAGU
Hyaena hyaena (striped hyena) is the source of this 1283-nucleotide long non-coding RNA. RefSeq lists it as uncharacterized. The record is from RefSeq and is a predicted model, not a curated record. The transcript has 3 exons. NCBI's taxonomy places the organism in Eukaryota, Metazoa, Chordata, Mammalia, Carnivora, Hyaenidae.